AUCUAGCUGAUAAGUCCCAAAUAGGAUGAAACACGCGUCCAACUGGAU
Molecule: non-coding RNA, 48 nt
Organism: Schistosoma rodhaini
Lineage: Eukaryota; Metazoa; Platyhelminthes; Trematoda; Strigeidida; Schistosomatidae
Source: Rfam